This 253-nucleotide ribosomal RNA is filed under the name uncultured bacterium. RNAcentral describes it as "partial 16S ribosomal RNA". It matches the Rfam family "Bacterial small subunit ribosomal RNA", at positions 524 to 776 of the family's 1533-position model. The record is from RNAcentral.
UACGGAGGGUGCAAGCGUUAUCCGGAUUCACUGGGUUUAAAGGGUGCGUAGGCGGGUAUGUAAGUCAGUGGUGAAAUCCCCGAGCUUAACUCGGGAACUGCCAUUGAUACUAUAUGUCUUGAAUAUCCUGGAGGUCUGCGGAAUAUGUCAUGUAGCGGUGAAAUGCGUAGAUAUCGAGAGGAACACCUGCGGCGAAGGCGGGUUGCUGGGCUGACACUGACGCUGAUGCGCGAAAGCUAGGGGAGCGAACGGG